RNAcentral lists this ribosomal RNA (253 nucleotides) under uncultured bacterium. RNAcentral's name for it is "partial 16S ribosomal RNA". It matches the Rfam family "Bacterial small subunit ribosomal RNA", at positions 524 to 776 of the family's 1533-position model. The record is from RNAcentral.
GACGAACCGUCCUAACGUUGUUCGGAAUCACUGGGCUUAAAGGGCGCGUAGGCGGGCGACCAAGUCCGGGGUGAAAUCUUUCGGCUUAACCGGAAAAUAGCCUUGGAUACUGGUUGUCUCGAGGGAGGUAGGGGCCGUUGGAACUUCCGGUGGAGCGGUGAAAUGCGUUGAUAUCGGAAGGAACGCCGGUGGCGAAAGCGAACGGCUGGACCUCUUCUGACGCUGAGGCGCGAAAGCCAGGGGAGCGAACGGG